Triticum dicoccoides is the source of this 3558-nucleotide long non-coding RNA. RefSeq lists it as uncharacterized. The record is from RefSeq and is a predicted model, not a curated record. The transcript has 4 exons. NCBI's taxonomy places the organism in Eukaryota, Viridiplantae, Streptophyta, Magnoliopsida, Poales, Poaceae.
UCUCUCCCUCCCUCCCGCAGCCGCUUCCCUCCCUCCCUCCCGCGCGCCUCCUCUCCUCCCACCCACAUCGCCGCCGCCGCCACCCACCUCCUCGAACCGCGAUGAGCAGCAGCGGAGGGAGGACGAGGAGCACGACGGCGGCCCUCCUCCCCCUCGUGCCACGACCGCUCCAUCUCCUUGAGCUCCCCCUUCCCCUUCCUCACCCCAUCACCUUUGCCGGUGGAUCCCGGCGAGGAGGAGCAGCCAAUUUCUGCCGGUGCCUCCCCCCAAUCCGCAGCACGACCGCCAGAGCCCACGUCUCUGGUGAGGUGAGCCACGGCGGCCACGCGCCUGCGCCGGCGCCCGCGGCUGACACGUCCCCGGGCAUCUCCUCCGCGUCUCUGGAUCCGGCCGCCGUCGCCGCCUCAGGUGCUGCUCGCCUCAUCCCCCUCGCGCCGGCCCUGGCCCUGGCCCCGGCACUGGCGCCGUCGAAGUCCGCGUCGAGCGCCCGCAUCGCCCGCCCGUGCACCCGAACCCGACACGACUCAGGGCGCGCCCCAACUCCCGGCGCUGGCCGCCUCUGUCGCCUGCGUCGCCAUCUUCCUCAUCACCAAGUUCGUUAACGACUGCCCCAACCAUAGCGCCGGCAACUGCUCCGUGGGGUUCCUCGACGGAUUCGCCUUCCAGCCGCUCAAGGAGAACCAGCUCCUCGGCCCAUCCUCCACCACAGAAUAAUUGAGUAUGAAGCAACCAAGGUGAUGCUGGCCCUAAGCAUCAAUCCAUGUGUUCCGACUCUAUGAGUUUACAUACGGCUACAAGCAAGCCGCCGGGCAGUGCUCCAAUAUUGUAUUACUGGGCAGUGCUGGGCAGUGCACGCCGUUGCCACCAGUUGCGCCUUGCGCGGCCAAGGGGCGCCAGCCGCAGAUGCUCGAUGCGUCGCUCCCUGUCACUCGUUCUGUGACCGCUGUAGGUGUUCCCCGGUCAUUCUUCCUCCUCCAUUGGCAGGAGGGGCUCGUCUGCAGUUCUGCUACAGUCAAUCUCUCUCUCUCUCUCUCUCUCUCUCUCUCUCUACCCAUCAUCGUGGAAUUGCAGGUCGUUCAUUAACACUAUUUGAUAUCUGAGAACUAGAAAUGCUGAAAUCUGAAAACUGGAAUCUCCAGUUAACUGAUUUUUUGAACGUUUAAUCUUGUCUAACUAUUUGUGAGGUUUAUUCGGGUUUCCAGUAGAUAAAACCUAACCCUAUGUAUUUAUAAAUGGAGCAGAACUGUAUUUAUAGAACUUCAGAGAAUUUAUUACUGGAGCCACCAUACAAAACUCUCUAGAGCAAAACUCUAUUUCAACUAUAAAUGGCAAGAACAAAACUUUUAUAUAUUUUCUGUGUGUGUAGAUGCUUAAGCUUAAGCUUCUGUUAUUUGCUUCAGUUAGAGAUUAAAGAAGUCUGAAAUUGAGUCGAUGGUGUAUAUACUUGAUAUAUAUAAAUGGUCAAAAUACGGAAGUGCUUUUAUGAAAGUCAAAUAUGCAGUUGUCUUCCUGUUUGAAUCUUCAUUGUUGAUUCCAAGUUUGCUGCUUCCCAAAAAGUGGAGAUUUGUAGUACGGACAGAACUUCAACCUAUUCAACAUAGAUCUUAAACUGACCAGACAAUAGUAUAAUAUUUUUUAUUUACGGCCUUAGAAUUGUAUUGCCACAAAAAACAGAUUUGGAAUCUCAAAGAAAGCAGGUUCUUAUGCUACAUAAUUGUUUCCUCUAUUAUAGUUAACCUCUCUAUUUUGUCGUCUCUAACAGCCAAGAUGAGUGCUCUAUGCUUACGACUCAUGCUAACUGAACUGGUGAUGUUUCUUUCUUCACCUCGAUUGAUGCCACAUGUUCCCCCUGGCGAGUCUUGACACCAUGUUUAUACAAUUAAGAUCGCCCUCUGGUUGCUUGAACACAUUUGAUUUAUUGCAAAUUUUGGUACACUAUUUUGAUAGGAGUGUUCUUUGCUUACCGUCCACACUUACUAGGUUUUCUUCAGAACGUUUGUUAGAGCAUAGUUCAUGUAUCUGGUACCUUAGCAUUGUUAGCUUUUAAACUUGUUUUAUGUCCAUCACCCAGACAUCAUCUUAUGUUCUUCUCAAUUUGUGUGCGCAAAGGUUGCAAUUCCAUGUUCUAGGCUUAGCUCAACCAGAUAACAUGUAGGGAGUUCAAUUUUAUUUGUUAAUAUAAUGGUGGAAUCAUAUAUCUCUAAGGUGCAAUCAUUAGUCAAGUGUCAGUAACUUGCUGGUAGUUCUAUUAUGUCAUGAACUAAAAUGUUAAGGAGAUUUCUUCCGUUUUAUGAAUUAACGAUGUGGCCAACUGUUGUGAAGUCUCAAAAAUGAGAAAUGGUUGUCCAUCAGUUGGGCUUGAUUUUCUGCUUGGUUUUGUGAAAUACAUUUUGAUUAGGGUUAAGGUUGGCCCUUGGUCUCAGGUUGCCACGUCGUCCUCGUCUUCGGCUUGCAAGGGACUGGAUCUGGUGUGAUUGAUUCUUCCUCUCGCAAGGUUAUGAUGGCCGACAAACAGCUCCAAGUUCACGGGUCGCCAGGCUCGCCGAGUGACGCUGGCUCCAACGGUGGUCUGUGAGCACUUGCCCAGGUCAAUUGAUAUUUGUGGUGGCCCUUCUCUGUUUUUACUUGGAAAAAUUUAGUCCGUAUGUGCCUCAGUGAUUUUUAAAAUCAAAGGAAAUGCUCCGUGCAGAAAAAUACAUAUCUAAUCUAGGGGGUAUAUGUAAUAGCGGUAGAUAAAUAAUAAUGUUUAGAUUCAGGCAGUAUACUACAAUCUGCCUUCUGGAGAGGGGCCUAUGCUUGCUAAGUUCUUUGUACGGUGCCUUCAGGGAGGCUGUGUGGUGCCGACCGGAUGUACGGCGAGGUCUUCAUAAUGGCAUCAAGUCACCCUUGCCAUAUGGAUCAUAUGUAAGCUCUUCCUGCUAACCUACAGGAGUACAUUUUGAUGCUUCAAGUCUGAACCUAUGUAACUUGUGAACUAAUGCCUCCCUGAGUGUGUGUGUGUGUGCACGCGCGCUAUGUUAAAUCAAACUUCUUCAGACUACUGUGAAGUAAUGCCACUUGUCAUAUUGACCAAAUUUCAUUGCUUGAUGGCCAUUUAGAGAGGCCAUUUAGAGUUGUCAAAAAUCUGGGACUGUGAAGUCUAUUUACACUGUCAAAAAUCUCGGACUGUUUUCAGAGUUGCUACAACAAUGGAAUUUUCAGUUUGACAAAACAGUUUAAACUGAAAAUCUGGGACUUCACAUUUGCUACAACAGAGUUGUCAAAAAUUCAGUUUACACUGUUAGUUUGACAAAAACUGUCCAAACUGAAAAUUCAGUUAUAAUGGUGUAGGCAUUGUUAAUCUUUGGGGAUAAUUGUAGAUGUUGUGAAGUGAUUUAGAUGUCUGCUUUGCUGUGCAUACUGGCAUCAAAUAAUUCCAACUUAAUUCAGAGAAAAUUGGUAACUCAUGUAUGUUGGCAUCAAAUUAUUGCCAGUAAUACAUUUAUUGGCAAUCAGUACAUGAUCAAUGACUGAAUUAAGUUGUAAUCCUUUUGCUGAAUUGGCCCCUGUAUUACUGUA